Molecule: ribosomal RNA, 309 nt
Filed under: Triticum aestivum (bread wheat)
Lineage: Eukaryota; Viridiplantae; Streptophyta; Magnoliopsida; Poales; Poaceae
Description: partial small subunit ribosomal RNA
Source: RNAcentral
AUGGGAGGUGCAGGAGCAGACCUAGGUCACCAAGACCGCGGGAGGAACCGGGGAAGACGAAGGCACACUACUCGUCGGGCGGUGCUCUGCCGGAGCCGAGGAAGACCGGUGUGGGAGCUCGAUUCACUACAGCACUGUGCUGAAUCGUCCAUGGAAAGCGUCAGAGAGACGAAGAGCUCGUUGGGCGGGGCGGGGCGAGGCUGGACGUGGCGGCUCCUGGCGCUGGCUGGAGGGGCCGGCGGCGGCUACGAGCGACGGCGACUCGGCGAAACAAGUUGUUCGCGGCUGGAGGCGGAUCGGAACGCGUAG